CUCUUCCUUUCCUUCUCUCUCUCUCAGUGUGUCUAACCAUAUCUUUGGGCAUUGCAUUGAGAGGGCUCCCUAUAGCUGCUGUACCUUCCUAUUAUUGACACAAUCAAAUAAUCUGCAUAGUAAGGAUAAAAACCUACUUCGUCCUUUGCCUUGUCUUAACUUCUUCAUCCUGUGGAAUCUGCCUGCCAUGGAUUUAAAGAUGAAAUGCAUCAUGCAAUGACCAACAGCUGUUUCUGGUUUUGCACUCCAGGAAAGGGAACGUUCAACAUGUGAAAGAAUAUGGUCUUUUAUUUAUAUGGCAGUGCACUGUUGUUUUUAUCAGAAUAUCAGCAUGCAUAUCCCCGGAGUAAGUGAUGACCAGACAAUCACAUGAAAUCUGUAAUCUUCUUUAUCACUAUUCUAAGCCCCGGCCAGCGCGAUCCGACGCGGUGGCUGCUACUAUGGCAACCCGACGUGUGGACACGUGACGUCAUCUGUAGCGGAACCCGGAAGUCCAGGGAGCGCGGCGGAGAUGGAGUGGCCGGAGGCGUCCUUCCUCACUACACUGGUGGGUCUUCCUACACUAUUUAAGGUUACCAAAAUGUAUCAAGAUCCACUAGAGGGCAGGGCAGCUUCAACAGCUGAAUCUUUCUAGGCUUACAAAUUGAUGGUGACAACAGCACAGGCAAGAAUCCUGGCCAAACAACAAGGAUUUCAGCUCUUUUCAAAGCUUUAUGCAGCUAGAUGAAUUGAUGUAUAAAUAUCUCAGGUUCCUAACAGAAACACAAGGCACCAAUCUGCAAUCAAGCAAUAUCUUAUGGAAUAAAUCACCAAUAUCUUAUGGGAUAUUAAAAUCUUAAUAUAUCAAUCACCAAUCUUCAAUCAAUAUCGUAUGGAAUACUGUAGAUCCCCCAAAAUAUAUUAGUGGUUUAUGUGUAGUUAUCACUAGAAAUUGACAUGUAAAGAUUACAUUUGCAUUCAUCUCUUAAUUGUUUACAUGUGUUUUACAAGUUAUUCAGCGUCAUUUAUUUUAAAUGUUGCACUUCACAGAUACAUAUGAUGCUGCAAAUAUGUUCCAGCAUCGACCUGCUCCGUAUAAUAUUGACAGGCACUUCUGCUGUGUCACAAUCUGCUUAGUAUAAUAUUUAUUUUAUUCAUUGAUUUUUAUGUAGUGCAUGCAAUUUUAUGCAGUGAUGUAUAGUUUCCCUGCCCAGUAGAGCUAGAAUGAGAUACUGGAGACACAGGGCCUAAUUCAGAUCUGAUGGAA
Pseudophryne corroboree (corroboree frog) is the source of this 1246-nucleotide long non-coding RNA. RefSeq lists it as uncharacterized. The transcript is spliced from 4 exons. The record is from RefSeq and is a predicted model, not a curated record. NCBI's taxonomy places the organism in Eukaryota, Metazoa, Chordata, Amphibia, Anura, Myobatrachidae.